CCUACGGGGGGCAGCAGUGAGGAAUAUUGGUCAAUGGUCGGGAGACUGAACCAGCCAAGCCGCGUGAGGGAGGAAGGUACAGAGUAUCGUAAACCUCUUUUGUCAGGGAACAAAGACUGGGACGCGUCCCCGGAUGAGUGUACCUGAAGAAAAAGCAUCGGCUAACUCCGUGCCAGCAGCCGCGGUAAUACGGAGGAUGCGAGCGUUAUCCGGAUUUAUUGGGUUUAAGGGGUGCGUAGGCGGUCUGUUAAGUCAGCGGGCAAAGCCCGGGGCUCACCCCCGGCCCGCCGUUGAAACUGGCAGUCUCGAGUUGGGUAGAGGUAUGCGGAAUGCGCGGUGUAGCGGUGAAAUGCAUAGAUAUCGCGCAGAACUCCGAUUGCGAAGGCAGCAUGCCGGCUCCACACUGACGCUGAGGCACGAAAGCGUGGGUAUCGAACAGGAUUAGAUACCCUGGUAGUC
Molecule: ribosomal RNA, 459 nt
Filed under: uncultured bacterium
Lineage: Bacteria
Description: partial 16S ribosomal RNA
Rfam family: Bacterial small subunit ribosomal RNA
Source: RNAcentral